CCCCCAGAGCCGGCGACGCAUCUUUCAAAUGUCUGCUUAUCAACUGUCGAUGGUAGGUUCUGCGCUACCAUGGUUGUAACGGGUAACGGGGAAUCAGGGUUCGAUUCCGGAGAGGGAGCUUGAGAAACGGCUACCACAUCCAAGGAAGGCAGCAGGCGCGCAAAUUACCCACUCCCGGCACGGGGAGGUAGUGACGAAAAAUAACGAUACGGGACUCUUCCGAGGCCCCGUAAUCGGAAUGAGUACACUUUAAAUCCUUUAACGAGUAUCAAUUGGAGGGCAAGUCUGGUGCCAGCAGCCGCGGUAAUUCCAGCUCCAAUAGCGUAUAUUAAAGUUGUUGCGGUUAAAAAGCUCGUAGUCGGACUUGUGUCCCACGCUGCCGGUUCACCGCUCGUCGGUGUCUAACUGGCAUGCACGUGUGGACGUCCUGCCGGUGGCCCGAUCCGGCGCGGGUCUCGCACCUGUCGUCCGGGGAAGGCCUAUCAUACCCGUCGCGGKGCUCUUAACCGAGUGUCUCGAUGGGCCGGCACGUUUACUUUGAACAAAUUAGAGUGCUUAAAGCAGGCAGCAUCCGCCUGAAUACCGAGUGCAUGGAAUAAUGGAAUAGGACCUCGGUUCUAUUUUGUUGGUUUUCGGAAUCCCCGAGGUAAUGAUCAAUAGGGACAGACGGGGGCAUUCGUAUUGCGACCUUGAAGGUGAAAUUCUUGGAUCGUCACAGAYGGACCGAAGYGAAUGCAUUKGCCAGAAUGUUUUYUCYGUCAAGAACGAAGUUAGAGGUUCGAAGGCGAUCAGAUACCGCCYUACUUCUAACCAUAAASCCASCCACAUCCGSGAAGUUCYUCCGAUGACUCGGCGGGCGGSUUCCGGGAAACCAAASYUUUGGGUUCCGGGGGAAGUAUGGUUGCAAAGCUGAAACUUAAAGGAAUUGACGGAAGGGCACCACCAGGAGUGGAGCCUGCGGCUUAAUUUGACUCAACACGGGAAACCUCACCAGGCCCGGACACCGGGAGGAUUGACAGAUUGAGAGCUCUUUCUUGAUUCGGUGGGUGGUGGUGCAUGGCCGUUCUUAGUUGGUGGAGCGAUUUGUCUGGUUAAUUCCGAUAACGAACGAGACUCUAGCCUGCUAACUAGUCGCUUCCGGUAUCCUUGUGCUACCGGCGACUCCUGAUCUUCUUAGAGGGACAGGCGGCUCCUAGCCGCACGAGAUUGAGCAAUAACAGGUCUGUGAUGCCCUUAGAUGUUCUGGGCCGCACGCGCGCUACACUGAAGGAAUCAGCGUGUCCUCCCUGGCCGAAAGGUCCGGGUAACCCGCUGAACCUCCUUCGUGCUAGGGAUUGGGGCUUGCAAUUGUUCCCCAUGAACGAGGAAUUCCCAGUAAGCGCGAGUCAUAAGCUCGCGUUGAUUACGUCCCUGCCCUUUGUACACACCGCCCGUCGCUACUACCGAUUGAAUGAUUUAGUGAGGUCUUCGGACCGGUGGGCGAGGGGGUUCUCCUCCUCGAUUCCACCGGGAAGAUGCCCAAACUUGAUCAUUUAGAGGAAGUAAAAGUCGUAACAAGGU
Molecule: ribosomal RNA, 1560 nt
Filed under: Pseudomiopteryx guyanensis
Lineage: Eukaryota; Metazoa; Arthropoda; Insecta; Mantodea; Thespidae
Description: SSU rRNA
Rfam family: Eukaryotic small subunit ribosomal RNA
Source: RNAcentral